This 222-nucleotide unclassified non-coding RNA is filed under the name Hevea brasiliensis (rubber tree). The record is from RNAcentral. Lineage: Eukaryota; Viridiplantae; Streptophyta; Magnoliopsida; Malpighiales; Euphorbiaceae.
AUGAGGUUGAAAUUUUAUGGUUCAGAAAACUGAAUGGAUUUCCAUCAAUUCGCCUUUCUGGAUUUGGCAUCUACUUAGCUAAAUCUAAUUAAAUAUGAGAAGUGUACAUGGCGAGCUAAAUUUCUCUACUCAGUAAUGCCGAGGGAAACCUUGAAUUUGCCAACCAGAUGUGGUAAUGUCUUUAUGCUAUCUUGAAUUGACUGGUCUACGCAUGAUUCCAUA